This 328-nucleotide ribosomal RNA is filed under the name uncultured bacterium. Its description in RNAcentral is "bacterial SSU rRNA". It matches the Rfam family "Bacterial small subunit ribosomal RNA", at positions 9 to 317 of the family's 1533-position model. The record is from RNAcentral.
GAGUUUGAUCGUGGCUCAGGAUGAACGCUGGCGGCGUGCUUAACACAUGCAAGUCGAACGAAGCACUUAAGAUUGAUUCUUCGGAUGACGUCUUUUGUGACUUAGUGGCGGACGGGUGAGUAACGCGUGGGUAACCUGCCUUACACAGGGGGAUAACAGUUAGAAAUGACUGCUAAUACCGCAUAACCCGAUAGGAUCGCAUGAUCCAGACGGAAAAGAUUUACGGUGUGAGAUGGACCCCGCGUCUGAUUAGCCUAGUUGGUGAGGUAACGGCCCACCAAAGGCGACGAUCAGUAGCCGGACUGAGAGGGUGAACGGCCACAUUGGG